CACCAUAGCGUGACCAGGCACGAGGAGCGUAGUUAGCAACGGCAAGGCCGGCGAUGAUGAUCAAACAGGAUCCCGUGAAGAAGGAAAACUUCUUAUGGAAUCUGUCGUACAAUGGCAUAACAGUGACAAUGCCCAAAGCGUCGGCAAGCCAAAUAGGAGCAUUCAACAACGAGAUAUCGAUACCGGAAAAACUGGGGUUAAUCUCUUCAAUAAUCAAAGUACAAUAGUUGAAGAUACCAUUACCCACACCGACGAUACCAAAGUACAUGAGAAUAAAAGGCCAUACGCGGAGAUCCAAGCAAGACUUUAGCAAAUCAGACCAUUGCCACCGCUUACCAACAUUCAUCUCUGCAAUGUAUCUAGAAUGAAGGGAUUUGUCGGCAGGCGUGAGGAAGCCAAUUCUCUGAGGAGACAAAGUUUUCAUCCAUUUGGGUAAGGGAAUAAACGAGCUAAGCGACUUUCUAUGCUCCUUUGAAGCAACUGCCGGCAACCACCAGGGAAUGGAUAAUGCUUGGGCAAUAGCAACGACUCCCCAGAUAAGGAACAUCCACUGGUAUCCAUACAAGCCGCGAGCGCCAUCCAUCUUUUGGAAACCAGCUGAAACCAAACUGACGGCUGCUGCUGCAAUUUGAGCAGCCGUAUAAUACCAACCAAUACGUUUACCCAAGUGCUUGCCCCUAUACCAACGGCUCAUGUAGUAAGCCAAGCCGGGCCAUAAGCCGGAUUCAGCGACACCUAAGAAGAAACGUAAAGCGACAUAACUUUGCGCAUUACCAUGUUUCGUUCCCAAAACUGCAUGGCAAGCACCAACAACACCAAUGGUGAGUUGGAUACGAGACACCCAAAUUCGGGGCUCGAUAAAUGCCAUCAUCAAGUUGGAGGGCACCUCAAAAAUAAUGUAGCCAACGUAAAACAACGCCAAACCCAAGGCGAGAUAGUGAGCUGAGUAGCCAGAAAGUGUUUGAAUAAGACUGUGGCCCUGAGCCGUAUUCAUGGUAAACGAAAGUGAGACAGUAAAACGAAGACAACAAGACAAAAAGUAAAGAAUCCAAAGACAUGGAAUGAUACGAAGGUCCAUUUUCAAUCUUAAUUUCUGUAACCUUCGCAAUUCGCUACUAGUAAAUUCUUGCUCUUUUACCGUCGUUUCCGCACCAUCGUUAAAAACAUUGAGAUCAGACGAAUCGAUUACUGUCGUCGAAAAUUGAUUCUUCAAUGAGGGCUUUGAAUCUGAUACGCUUUCGACAAUUUCAGGAAUAUUAAGUUUGGGAUUCUCCUCAACUGAGGAGGCCCUCGAUGUUUCAGGCCAUUCUGAAGCCAUUAUUUUGAAAUUUUCGGGAAUGACAGAUGGAUAUCGAGACAGUGAUGGCUUUCCAAUACUUUUCUAAAUGUGGUGGAUUUUAACCAACACAACCCCGUUCACUUCAGCACGAAGAAUUGAAAAUUAGAAAAACGGCGCAUAUAUAUACUAAUGAAGGGCGUCAAUAUUGCUACCUGGCCAACUUACUUUAAUUGCAAUGAAGAUUGCGACAAAUAUUAAAAUACAAAAAAACCCGUCACUAUUCUUUAUGAAAUUUCGCAACGGCCAGGUCUCGUCAAAUCACGGUAUCUUAGAUUGUGAAAGUUAGCGAAAUGAAGGAUAAGAAAUAAAUAUCGCUUAGAUCGUGGGAAAUAUAUGGAAGCAGAGGCGUCUAAACUUUUGAAUAAACUUCGCUCAGAAAUAGAAAUAGAUCGAAUUCUAUAGUAGUAUUAAGAUUUAAUGAAGAUGUUUUUAAAACGGGUAGUCGAAACGUUGAGCGAUUGUUCAUU
This is a non-coding RNA of Schizosaccharomyces pombe (fission yeast), 1806 nucleotides long. NCBI's taxonomy places the organism in Eukaryota, Fungi, Ascomycota, Schizosaccharomycetes, Schizosaccharomycetales, Schizosaccharomycetaceae. The record is from the annotation of a GenBank genome assembly.